This 816-nucleotide ribosomal RNA is filed under the name uncultured marine bacterium. RNAcentral's name for it is "bacterial SSU rRNA". It matches the Rfam family "Bacterial small subunit ribosomal RNA", at positions 86 to 939 of the family's 1533-position model. The record is from RNAcentral.
CAAUACUUAGUGGCAGACGGGUGAGUAACAUGUGGGUAUCUACCCUUUGGCCUGGAAUAACACGAGGAAACUUGUGCUAAUACCGGAUAAGUCUUUACGGAGAAAGCUUUAUGCACCAUUGGAUGAGCCCGCACUUGAUUAGUUUGUUGGUAGGGUAAUGGCCUACCAAGACUUUGAUCAAUAGCUGAUUUGAGAGGAUGAUCAGCCACAUUGGGACUGAGACACGGCCCAAACUCCUACGGGAGGCAGCAGUGGGGAAUCUUGCACAAUGGAGGAAACUCUGAUGCAGCGAUGCCGCGUGAGUGAAGAAGGCCUUUGGGUUGUAAAGCUCUUUCGUCGGGGAAGAAAAUGACUGUACCCGAAUAAGAAGGUCCGGCUAACUUCGUGCCAGCAGCCGCGGUAAUACGAAGGGACCUAGCGUAGUUCGGAAUUACUGGGCUUAAAGAGUUCGUAGGUGGUUGAAAAAGUUGGUGGUGAAAUCCCAGAGCUUAACUCUGGAACUGCCAUCAAAACUUUUCAGCUAGAGUUUGAUAGAGGAAAGCAGAAUUUCUAGUGUAGAGGUGAAAUUCGUGGAUAUUAGAAAGAAUACCAAUUGCGAAGGCAGCUUUCUGGAUCAUUACUGACACUGAGGAACGAAAGCAUGGGUAGCGAAGAGGAUUAGAUACCCUCGUAGUCCAUGCCGUAAACGAUGUGUGUUAGACGUUGGGAAUUUAUUUUCAGUGUCGCAGCGAAAGCGAUAAACACACCGCCUGGGGAGUACGACCGCAAGGUUAAAACUCAAAUGAAUUGACGGGGACCCGCACAAGUAGUGGAGCA